Molecule: ribosomal RNA, 442 nt
Filed under: uncultured bacterium
Lineage: Bacteria
Description: partial 16S ribosomal RNA
Rfam family: Bacterial small subunit ribosomal RNA
Source: RNAcentral
AUGAACGCUGGCGGCAUGCCUAACCCAUGCCAGUCGAUCGGUAAGGCUCUUCGGAGUACACGAGAGGCGGACGGCUGAGUAACGCGUAGGAACACACCCUGCAGUGAGGGAUAAGACACCGAAAGGUGUUCUAAUACCGCAUACGGUCUUCGGAUUAAAGCAUUUAUGCGCUGAAGGAGUGGCCUGCGUCAUAUUAGAUAGUUGGUGAGGUAAUGGCUCACCAAGUCGAUGAUGUGUAGCUGGUCUGAGAGGAUGAUCAGCCAGACUGGAACUGAGACACGGUCCAGACUCCUACGGGAGGCAGCAGUGAGGAAUAUUUCACAAUGAGCGAAAGCUUGAUGGAGCAAUGCCGCGUGCAGGAUGAAGGCCCUCGGGUUGUAAACUGCUUUUAUAAGAGAAGAUUAUGACGGUAACUUAUGAAUAAGGGACGGCUAACUACGUG